This 651-nucleotide ribosomal RNA is filed under the name uncultured Eubacteriales bacterium. RNAcentral describes it as "bacterial SSU rRNA". It matches the Rfam family "Bacterial small subunit ribosomal RNA", at positions 62 to 725 of the family's 1533-position model. Lineage: Bacteria; Bacillati; Bacillota; Clostridia; Eubacteriales. The record is from RNAcentral.
UUUAGUAAACGGAAGCUUCGGUGGAAGAUUACUAAUGAGAGUGGCGAACGGGUGAGUAACGCGUGAGCAACCUGCCUAUGACAGUGGGAUAGCCUCGGGAAACCGGGAUUAAUACCGCAUAAAAUCGUAGAAACACAUGUUUUAACGGUCAAAGAUUUAUCGGUCAUAGAUGGGCUCGCGUCUGAUUAGCUAGUUGGUGAGGUAACAGCCCACCAAGGCGACGAUCAGUAGCCGGUCUGAGAGGAUGAACGGCCACAUUGGAACUGAGACACGGUCCAAACUCCUACGGGAGGCAGCAGUGGGGAAUAUUGCACAAUGGGGGAAACCCUGAUGCAGCGACGCCGCGUGAACGAAGAAGGUAUUCGUAUCGUAAAGUUCUGUCCUAUGGGAAGAUAAUGACAGUACCAUAGAAGAAAGCUCCGGCUAAAUACGUACCAGCAGCCGCGGUAAUACGUAUGGAGCGAGCGUUGUCCGGAAUUAUUGGGCGUAAAGGGUACGCAGGCGGUUUAAUAAGUCGAAUGUUAAAGAUCGGGGCUCAACCCCGUAAAGCAUUGGAAACUGAUAAACUUGAGUAGUGGAGAGGAAAGUGGAAUUCCUAGUGUAGUGGUGAAAUACGUAGAUAUUAGGAGGAAUACCAGUAGCGAAGGCGAC